RNAcentral lists this ribosomal RNA (1321 nucleotides) under metagenome. RNAcentral describes it as "bacterial SSU rRNA". It matches the Rfam family "Bacterial small subunit ribosomal RNA", at positions 21 to 1388 of the family's 1533-position model. The record is from RNAcentral.
GGCUCAGGAUGAACGCUGGCGGUAUGCCUAGCACAUGCAAGUCGAACGGAGUUCUUCGGAACUUAGUAGCGGACGGGUGAGUAACACGUGAGAACCUACCUUCAGAAUGGGGACAACAGUUGGAAACGACUGCUAAUACCCGAUGUGCCGAGAGGUGAAAGAUUUAUCGUCUGAAGAUGGGCUCGCGGCUGAUUAGCUAGUUGGUGUGGUAAGAGCGCACCAAGGCAACGAUCAGUAGCUGGUCUGAGAGGAUGAGCAGCCACACUGGAACUGAGAAACGGUCCAGACUCCUACGGGAGGCAGCAGUGGGGAAUUUUCCGCAAUGGGCGAAAGCCUGACGGAGCAAUACCGCGUGUGGGAGGAAGGCCCUUGGGUCGUAAACCACUUUUCUAGGGGAAGAAGAUCUGACGGUACCCUAGGAAUAAGCAUCGGCUAACUCCGUGCAGCAGCCGCUAAUACGGAGGAUGCAAGCGUUAUCCGGAAUCAUUGGGCAUAAAGCGUCCGUAGGUGGUCAAUCAAGUCUGCUGUCAAAGAAUGGAGCUUAACUCCAUAGAGGCGGUGGAAACUGGGAGACUAGAGUUCGGUAGGGGUAGCGGGAAUUCCCAGUGUAGCGGUGAAAUGCGUAGAUAUUGGGAAGAACAUCGGUGGCGAAAGCGCGCUACUGGGCCGAAACUGACACUGAGGGACGAAAGCUGGGGUAGCGAAAGGGAUUAGAUACCCCUGUAGUCCUAGCCGUAAACGAUGGAUACUAGGCGUAGUCUGUAUCGACCCGGACUGUGCCGAAGCUAACGCGUUAAGUAUCCCGCCUGGGGAGUACGCUCGCAAGAGUGGAACUCAAAGGAAUUGACGGGGGCCCGCACAAGCGGUGGAGUAUGUGGUUUAAUUCGAUGCAACGCGAAGAACCUUACCAAGGCUUGACAUGUCUGGAAGUCUGCCGAAAGGUGGAUGUGCCUUAGGGAACCAGAACACAGGUGGUGCAUGGCUGUCGUCAGCUCGUGUCGUGAGAUGUUGGGUUAAGUCCCGCAACGAGCGCAACCCUCGUUUUUAGUUGCCAUCAUUAAGUUGGGCACUCUAGAGAGACUGCCGGUGACAAACCGGAGGAAGGUGGGGAUGACGUCAAGUCAUCAUGCCCCUUACGUCUUGGGCUACACACGUACUACAAUGGUCGGGACAACGGGCAGCUAAUCCGCGAGGACAAGCGAAUCCCACCAAACCCGGCCUCAGUUCAGAUUGCAGGCUGCAACUCGCCUGCAUGAAGGAGGAAUCGCUAGUAAUCGCAGGUCAGCAUACUGCGGUGAAUUCGUUCCCGGGCCUUGUACAC